Long non-coding RNA from Canis lupus familiaris (dog), 320 nucleotides. RefSeq lists it as uncharacterized. Lineage: Eukaryota; Metazoa; Chordata; Mammalia; Carnivora; Canidae. The record is from RefSeq and is a predicted model, not a curated record. The transcript is spliced from 3 exons.
CCAGGGAGGACAGAACCUAUCUUCCUGUUUUCCAAUGGGAAUUAAAUAAGAUGGACAUUCUCCAUAAACAGUAAAUCGACACACUCCUCAUUGCUUUCUGCAGAGAAAUUCUCUAAAGGCCACCAAAGGGCCCUAAGGAACAAGACAUGCAACUGCACCCAGGAUGAAUUCUGGAUAAGAGCCAGACAUACACUGGAGCAUCUUUCAACCUAGUGCCAAAAUCUGACAUGGAACGGCAGAGUGAAUGCAGCCAACUACAGCAGAGUACAAGAGGAGUCACACGGGUCACAGCUACUCGGCACUUAAGCUGCUUUUGCGAA